Long non-coding RNA from Salvelinus namaycush (lake trout), 380 nucleotides. RefSeq lists it as uncharacterized. The record is from RefSeq and is a predicted model, not a curated record. The transcript has 3 exons. NCBI's taxonomy places the organism in Eukaryota, Metazoa, Chordata, Actinopteri, Salmoniformes, Salmonidae.
GGCCUUUACAAAAUGACUGUUGAAACUGUAGCGCACAUUUCUCGGCAACAUUAGAAGUGGGAUAAAUGUGUUGAUUUGAAGGACAGACGGGCAGACUCUGGGGAAGCCUGGGCAACUGAAAUGUCUGAGCUUUUUCAACAGUCUGACUGUCAACAUCUGAACCAAAACCAAAUUAAGGGAGACAUAAAUAUGAUUAAAAAACAACUGUUGAUACAAUAUGGAAAUAAAAUGGGUGGAGGAGAUGAAUCAUAAACCCACAUGGAGAACCUUUUGUUUGAUUAACAGUGAAUUGGUGUGUGAUAGUGUCACGGUUGUCGUCAGAAGGAUGAGACCAAAGCGCAGCGUGACAGCACAGCAGAUAUACCCUGGCAUUAUGUGGC